RNAcentral lists this unclassified non-coding RNA (209 nucleotides) under Hevea brasiliensis (rubber tree). The record is from RNAcentral. Lineage: Eukaryota; Viridiplantae; Streptophyta; Magnoliopsida; Malpighiales; Euphorbiaceae.
ACUCCUGCAAUCCGCUAACAAAAAUUUCAACUUCCUGGUCGGUGGUGAGAGGUCCGGCUCUGGCUGCUAAUUGCUCAAAUUGGCGUUGAUAGUCCUCUACUGCACCCAAUUGACGUAGUUUGGACAGCUCCCCCAAUUUAUUACUUUGGAUAGAUGGCCCAAAUCGGAGGAGGCAAUGCCGUUUAAAUUCUUCCCAAGUAAUCCCAGGG